GGAAGUAAAAGUCUAACAAGGUUUCCGUAGGUGAACCUGCGGAAGGAUCAUUGUUGUAUAACCGAGGUGCGAGGGCUGUCGCUGACCCGAAAGGUCGUGCACGCCCGAGUGCCCUCACACACAUCCAUCUCACCCCUAUGUGCACCACCGCGUGGGUCCCCCUUUGGCUUGUUCGGAGGGGGGCUUACGUUUUCACACAAACUUUGUAUGCAGUGUAGAAUGUAUUUUUUGUUUUUGUGAUCACGCAAUCAAUACAACUUUCAACAACGGAUCUCUUGGCUCUC
Molecule: unclassified non-coding RNA, 284 nt
Filed under: plant metagenome
Description: partial contains small subunit ribosomal RNA, internal transcribed spacer 1, and 5.8S ribosomal RNA
Rfam family: Eukaryotic small subunit ribosomal RNA (bases 1-53)
Source: RNAcentral